UACGAAGGGUGCAAGCGUUAUUCGGAGUUACUGGGCGUAAAGAGCGUGUAGGCGGUCUGCUAAGUCAGUUGUUAAAGACCUUGGCUUAACUGAGGAAAAGCAAUUGAAACUGAUGGACUAGAGUGCAAGAGAGAGAGAUGGAAUUCUCGGAGUAGCGGUAAAAUGCGUAGAUCUCGAGAGGAACACCGGUAGCGAAGGCGGUCUCUUGGCUUGUAACUGACGCUAAAGCGCGAAAGCGUGGGGAG
Molecule: ribosomal RNA, 245 nt
Filed under: uncultured bacterium
Lineage: Bacteria
Description: partial 16S ribosomal RNA
Rfam family: Bacterial small subunit ribosomal RNA
Source: RNAcentral